AGUCACGGUAUUGUUGCUGCAGCUGGUGUUGUGAAUCAGGCCGACAAAAAGCGCAUCUUACUAUCCGGCUAUUUCACUACACCAGGGUUGCAUCAUACC
This is a non-coding RNA of Anolis carolinensis (green anole), 99 nucleotides long. The record is from RefSeq and is marked provisional. NCBI's taxonomy places the organism in Eukaryota, Metazoa, Chordata, Lepidosauria, Squamata, Anolidae.